CCCUUAGAUGUCCUGGGCCGCACGCGCGCUACACUGAUGCAUUCAACGAGUUCUACCUUGGCCGAGAGGCCUGGGCAAUCUUUUGAACCUGCAUCGUGAUAGGGAUAGAUUAUUGCAAUUAUUAAUCUUGAACGAGGAAUUCCUAGUAAACGCAGAUCAUCAAUCUGCAUUGUUUACGUCCCUGCCCUUUGUACACACCGCCCGUCGCACCUACCGAUUGAAUGGUCCGGUGAAGCCUCGGGAUUGUGGCGAGUUCCCUUUAUUGGGAGUUUGUCGCGAGAACUUGUCUAAACCUUAUCAUUUAGAGGAAGGUGAAGUCGUAACA
Molecule: ribosomal RNA, 325 nt
Filed under: uncultured eukaryote
Lineage: Eukaryota
Description: partial 18S ribosomal RNA
Rfam family: Eukaryotic small subunit ribosomal RNA
Source: RNAcentral